Hydra vulgaris (swiftwater hydra) is the source of this 976-nucleotide long non-coding RNA. RefSeq lists it as uncharacterized. NCBI's taxonomy places the organism in Eukaryota, Metazoa, Cnidaria, Hydrozoa, Anthoathecata, Hydridae. The record is from RefSeq and is a predicted model, not a curated record.
AUUAAACAAAACAUUGAGCUAAUAAUAAAUCUAAUUUAAAAAUAUUUUUUUUUAUUUGAUAUCACGAGUAAAAUUAUAGUCAGUUAUUGUAGUUAAGGCUUAUAAAACUAAUACCUGUUUAAUACUUAUUGACUUUAUUGAUGUAGCUGUGUUAAUGUAUUACUUGUUGGAUUUUCAAGGUGGUUGGUUACUUUUGUUGAAAAUACAGAAAUAAAUUAAUUUCGCAAUACAUGCGUUCAAGAUCUUUGAACUAACCGCAUAAUCUUUUCACAGACCACAGUAAGAAAUUUGAAUUAUUAAAAAGAUUCAAGAGAAAACUUAUCAUUUAAUCUUUUGUGAAUAAUUUAUAUAUGUAUAUAAAGAUAUAUAUAUAUAUAUAUAUAAAGAUUCAUUGAUAUUUAACAAAUUGGUAACACUAACAAAGUUAAGAGGUUAACGAAAGAAGUCAUUAACAAUAAAAAAAAAAUUGUACGUUAUUAGUAAUCAUGUACUUUACGAAUCGGCUAGUUGUUAUACUUAUUACAGUUUCUACAGUUUUAACAAAACCUUAUGUUGACUUAUCUAAAUUUGCGGGGAUGUAUUCCACCAUAAUUUCACUCUCAGAGAAGAUUAUUAACGAAGGUAAAAAACGACCUCCGAUCAUAGAUACAAUUGGCUUUGGAUGCGACGAAGAAUGCAAAGAAAAAGAAAGAUUGAGGCGCUUACUAGAGCAGAAUGGUUACGUCGACCAAUCAAAAAAGAUCAGUAGCGAGGAAUAUUAUAAAGAGUACAUGCUUUUCAGAAAAAAAAACUAUGUAUGAGCUUUAAAACUUUCAGAAUAUAAAUUAUAUUUGGUCAAAAUAUAUUUCACUGCAUAUACGUCAUUCAAAUGCAAAUUACGUUGUAUAGACCUCAACUCACUGUAUCACAUAGUGCACAGUUGUUAUAAUAAAGACACUUAAAAUAUUAUUUUUGGAAUAUAAUCAAUUUUUGCGAA